Long non-coding RNA from Engraulis encrasicolus (European anchovy), 1138 nucleotides. RefSeq lists it as uncharacterized. The record is from RefSeq and is a predicted model, not a curated record. The transcript is spliced from 3 exons. NCBI's taxonomy places the organism in Eukaryota, Metazoa, Chordata, Actinopteri, Clupeiformes, Engraulidae.
UGAGGAUGAAGACAUUCGCAAGAUGAGGAUUAAAAACGUACACCGAAAGGACUUUGCCCCCAAACAAGUAUUCAAGGGUGUGUGGAGUACACUUCCCUGACGCCAGACCAACGCAGGAACACCCAUGAAUAUAGUAAAGCACCAUCAUGUGGAAGACCACCCCAAAGAGGAGAUGUCUCCAGCCCCCAACAGAGAGACCAUGUGAUGAGCCUCCUGUGACAGAUUCUGACACCGAAGUAGGGCAUAGCUUGGAGGAUAGUCUGUCUUCACACCAAUGUGAUGUUGGCACUCAGUGGCCAGAGCGUAGUGAUCAUGAUUAUUGUUCGAUGAAGUCAACAAAAGAUGCAAGCACACAAACAGAUCCUACACUAUCACUGUCAGCUCAUGACAUGGAUGAUAAAGUGUCAAAAUUUUAUACUGGACUAGACAUCAUCAGCUUUUGGCAACUUUUGAACACCAUCAUUGGCUUUCUUCCACAGUCGAAGACGUUCAAAUUACCAGUCCAUGAACAGCUACUGCUGGUCCUAAUGAGGCUUCGGCUUGGCUACAGCCUGUGAUAUGUUCGCAAUGUGGAGAGCAACACUUGCCAAUUUCACAAGGGAAAAUCUUAUGUUUUGGCUCCCUCGAGACACUCUGAAUAGAGUAAGACCCUCAAGUUUUCUUGAACACUAUCCCAAUGCAACAUGCAUCAUAGAUUGCACUGAAAUAUUUGUCCAAAGACCGAAGAACUUGGAGAAAAGAGCAAAAACAUACAGCAACUAUAAGCAUCACAACACCUACAAACUCCUCUAUUGCAUAGCCCCCAAUGGUUUUGUGAUGUAUGUGUCAAAACUGUUUGGUGGCAGAGCUAGUGACACUUUUAUCACAAACUGUGGAUUUCUGUCACAUUUGAUUUUUGGUGAUCAGAUUUUGACAGACCGGGGAUUCACAAUUGGAGAUGUUCUUCCUCCAGGAGUGACAUUGGCUAUUCCAGCAUUUACACGUGGAUGUACACAACUAUCAGAACAUGAAGUCACAAGAACCCGCCGUCUCGCCAAUGUCCGAAUUCAUGUUGAACGUGCAAUAAGAAGGUUAAAAUGCUUCAAAAUUUUGAGUAAUGUAAUUUCAGGUUGAUUAAAACAUGUUGAUGACAUUUUGA